Non-coding RNA from Phrynosoma platyrhinos (Desert horned lizard), 71 nucleotides. The record is from the annotation of a GenBank genome assembly. NCBI's taxonomy places the organism in Eukaryota, Metazoa, Chordata, Lepidosauria, Squamata, Phrynosomatidae.
GGCAGUGUGGUAUAGUGGUUUGAAUGUUGGACUAUGACUCUGAAACCAGGGUUCAAAUCCCUGCUUGGUGA